Molecule: unclassified non-coding RNA, 297 nt
Filed under: fungal sp.
Lineage: Eukaryota; Fungi
Description: partial internal transcribed spacer region
Rfam family: Eukaryotic small subunit ribosomal RNA (bases 1-46)
Source: RNAcentral
AAGUCGUAACAAGGUUUCCGUAGGUGAACCUGCGGAAGGAUCAUUAACGAAUAAACCUGAUGGGCUGCAGCUGUCCCCCCAGGGGGCACGUGCUCGCCCGUCAUCUUUAUAUUUCCACCUGUGCACACACUGUAGAUCCGUGGGCGAACCCGCCUCUCUCCCGAGAAGCGUGGCGACCCCCGGGUUUACGACUCAUCUCACACACCCCAACGAAACCGUAGUAGAAUGUGACUUGCAGGGUCUCUGAACCCAUAAUAAAGUUUUAUACAACUUUCAGCAACGGAUCUCUUGGCUCUC